Erinaceus europaeus (western European hedgehog) is the source of this 104-nucleotide small nuclear RNA. The record is from Ensembl. Lineage: Eukaryota; Metazoa; Chordata; Mammalia; Eulipotyphla; Erinaceidae.
GUGCUCACUUCGGCAGCAAAUAUGCUAAAAUUGGAAUGAUACGGAGAAGAUUAGCAUGGAUGUGCAUGGAUGACAUGCAAAUUCGUGAAGCAUUCCAUAUUUUU